Molecule: long non-coding RNA, 274 nt
Filed under: Homo sapiens (human)
Lineage: Eukaryota; Metazoa; Chordata; Mammalia; Primates; Hominidae
Description: HSALNT0076445
Source: RNAcentral
UUCCACUCCUAUAUGUCAUCCCUUAUCUUUGUUAUUUUUUUUUAAACAGGUCCCAAAUACUUACCAGCCAUUUCUGCAUUCCCCAAUUUAGCACUGAUGCAUUUGACCUAUUGAGAAUUGGUACACUGAAAUAUAUAAUGGUAGACUGCAUAUUAUGUUUAAAUAUCUUGAUUAUUUAAAAACUUAGCUUUGCAAAUAUGCUUAAGAAAACUACUAUAUUUUUACAUUAAUGCAUUUCUAAAUGUGUAAUAUUUCUACAGAACAACUAAUAGAC